UUCUGGUUGAUCCCGCCGGAGGUUACUGCUAUCGGUGUUCGCCUAAGCCAUGCGAGUCAUAUGUAGCAAUACAUGGCGUACUGCUCAGUAACACGUGGAUAACCUGCCCUUGGGACCGGCAUAACCCCGGGAAACUGGGGAUAAUUCCGGAUAACGCAUAUGUGCUGGAAUGCUUUAUGCGUAAAAUGGAUUCGUCUGCCCAAGGAUGGGUCUGCGGCCUAUCAGGUAGUAGUGGGUGUAAUGUACCUACUAGCCAGCGACGGGUACGGGUUGUGAGAGCAAGAGCCCGGAGAUGGAUUCUGAGACAUGAAUCCAGGCCCUACGGGGCGCAGCAGGCGCGAAAACUUUACAAUGCGGGAAACCGUGAUAAGGGGACACCGAGUGCCAGCAUCAUAUGCUGGCUGUCCAGGUGUGUAAAAUACACCUGUUAGCAAGGGCCGGGCAAGACCGGUGCCAGCCGCCGCGGUAACACCGGCGGCCCGAGUGGUGAUCGUGAUUAUUGGGUCUAAAGGGUCCGUAGCCGGUUUGGUCAGUCCUCCGGGAAAUCUGAUAGCUUAACUAUUAGGCUUUCGGGGGAUACUGCCAGACUUGGAACCGGGAGAGGUAAGAGGUACUACAGGGGUAGGAGUGAAAUCUUGUAAUCCCUGUGGGGCCACCUGUGGCGAAGGCGUCUUACCAGAACGGGUUCGACGGUGAGGGACGAAAGCUGGGGGCACGAACCGGAUUAGAUACCCGGGUAGUCCCAGCCGUAAACGAUGCUCGCUAGGUGUCAGGCAUGGCGCGACCGUGUCUGGUGCCGCAGGGAAGCCGUGAAGCGAGCCACCUGGGAAGUACGGCCGCAAGGCUGAAACUUAAAGGAAUUGGCGGGGGAGCACAACAACGGGUGGAGCCUGCGGUUUAAUUGGAUUCAACGCCGGA
RNAcentral lists this ribosomal RNA (918 nucleotides) under uncultured archaeon. Its description in RNAcentral is "bacterial SSU rRNA". It matches the Rfam family "Archaeal small subunit ribosomal RNA", at positions 1 to 922 of the family's 1478-position model. The record is from RNAcentral.